RNAcentral lists this ribosomal RNA (467 nucleotides) under uncultured bacterium. RNAcentral's name for it is "partial 16S ribosomal RNA". It matches the Rfam family "Bacterial small subunit ribosomal RNA", at positions 28 to 506 of the family's 1533-position model. The record is from RNAcentral.
GACGAACGCUGGCGGCGUGCUUAACACAUGCAAGUCGAACGGAAAGGCCCUGCUUUUGUGGGGUGCUCGAGUGGCGAACGGGUGAGUAACACGUGAGUAACCUGCCCUUGACUUUGGGAUAACUUCAGGAAACUGGGGCUAAUACCGGAUAGGAGCUCCUGCUGCAUGGUGGGGGUUGGAAAGUUUCGGCGGUUGGGGAUGGACUCGCGGCUUAUGAGCUUGUUGGUGGGGUAGUGGCUUACCAAGGAUUUGACGGGUAGCCGGCCUGAGAGGGUGACCGGCCACAUUGGGACUGGGGUACGGCCCAGACUCAUACGGGAGGCAGGAGUGGGGAAUAUUGCACAAUGGGCGGAGGCCUGAUGCAGGAACGCCGCGUGCGGGAUGACGGCCUUCGGGUUGUAAACCGCUUUCGCCUGUGACGAAGCGUGAGGGACGGUAAUGGGUAAAGAAGCACCGGCUAACUACGU